AGAGUUGAUCAUGGCUCAGGAUGAACGCUAGCGGCAGGCCUAAUACAUGCAAGUCGAACGGUAAGCGGCCCUUCGGGGCUGUGAGAGUGGCGGACGGGUGCGUAACGCGUAUGCAACCAACCCCCGACGGGCGGAUAGCCGGUGGAAACGCCGGAUAAGCCGCCAUGCGGCCGACGAGGGGCAUCCCUUGUCGGUCAAAGCGGAGACGCGGUGGGGGACGGGCAUGCGUCCCAUUAGAUAGUUGGCGGGGCGACGGCCCACCAAGUCGACGAUGGGUAGGGGAUCUGAGAGGACGGUCCCCCACACUGGUACUGAGACACGGACCAGACUCCUGCGGGAGGCAGCAGUAAGGGAUAUUGGUCAAUGGUCGGAAGACUGAACCAGCCAAUGCCGCGUGAGGUAGGAAGGCCCUACGGGUCGUAAGCCUCUUUUACCCGGGGACAAGGGCGCCCACGCGAUGGGUGCUUGAGGGUACCGGGGGAAUAAGCGUCGGCUAACUCCGUGCCAGCAGCCGC
This 515-nucleotide ribosomal RNA is filed under the name uncultured bacterium. Its description in RNAcentral is "bacterial SSU rRNA". It matches the Rfam family "Bacterial small subunit ribosomal RNA", at positions 8 to 518 of the family's 1533-position model. The record is from RNAcentral.